GAUGCUUACAAAAUGUAUUAUCCAUGUCCAA
This 31-nucleotide non-coding RNA is filed under the name Rattus norvegicus (Norway rat). The record is from RNAcentral. Lineage: Eukaryota; Metazoa; Chordata; Mammalia; Rodentia; Muridae.